This 2397-nucleotide long non-coding RNA is filed under the name Sus scrofa (pig). Its description in RNAcentral is "lncRNA (ENSSSCG00060014202.1)". Lineage: Eukaryota; Metazoa; Chordata; Mammalia; Artiodactyla; Suidae. The record is from RNAcentral.
GGGUUCCCCGCGAGAGGCGCCGAAGAGCGCGGGAUCCCAGCGCUGGAGGUUGGCUCGGGCAGUGCCCGCGCACGCGCUCGUCCCUACCCUACGCGGCGCUCGUAGGGUCGUUUUUGUGUGCCAUUCUACCCAGGCAGGCCCUACACCCGGCCGGGGCUGGCGGGGCUGGCGGGUUCAGUGCUGCUUGAUCUUCGUAGCCUGGAACAAAGGGCUCGGGAUUUGACUUCAGCCCGUCGGGCGUGCACUUUGCAAGCCCCCGUGCAACCUCUACCGAUGCAGCCCCGUGUCAGCCCUAAUUGUGUGGGUUAAUUCUGAGUAAGCUCCAAGAAGGACGUGCAGGCAUUGGAGAUCCACGCAGGCCUAAAGGAACCCCUGUGCAGUCAGUCAUGUGCUGCCGGAGGAGUGGAUUCGCUAAACCGUGAUAUAUCGAUUCCCCAAAACGCCUUGUUUCCUUUUUGGUGGAAACCCGGCCCUGAUUCACUUCUCUUGAAUACCUCCUGUCUGCGGGGUACUGUGCUGGGUUCUGGGAAUACGGAAAUUAAAAGAUCCAGCUCAGUUUAGUUGGGGAGGACAGGCGAAUGAGCCGAUAAUAACUAAAGCGUGGUAAACAUUAGGGUAGAGACCCUGGGAAACAAGAAAGAUACUCACCUGACUGGAAGUCCAGGAAGACUUCUCAGAGGAGGUAGCACCCGAGCUAUGUCUCGAAGAAGUAGCAAGAGUGGUUGGAGAAGAUAACCCUGGCCUCGGAAGCUGGAUGAGUACUGUGUCAUUUCCCAGGGAAGACCAGCUGGAGCUUAGGGAGUGAGGAGAAGGACUGAAACCAGGUCCGGAAGAGUCUCUGUGCCCUUCCAGGGAGUUUGGAUUUUGUCCCCAAGGCUGUGGGGAGCCUUUGCAAAAUUGUCUUCAGUGGACUGGAUGAUGCCCACCCCCCUGGGAGAGGGCCAUCUCUUUUACUGAUUCCGUCAAUUCAGAUGUUAAUCCCAUCCGAGACACCGUCAUGGACACACCCAGAAAUAACUAGUCUUGGCAUUAGGUGGCCCAGGCAAGAUGACACAAAAUUAGCCAUCGCAAGUAACUAACUACUAAAAGACAAGUUUCUCAUAGCCAUUUUCUGUCUUAAGAAUAGGGAUCUUAGGAGUUCCCGUCGUGGCACAGUGGUUAACGAAUCCGACUAGGAACCAUGAGGUUGCGGGUUCGGUCCCUGCCCUUGCUCAGUGGGUUAACGAUCCGGCGUUGCCGUGAGCUGUGGUGUAGGUUGCAGACGCGGCUCGGAUCCCGCGUUGCUGUGGCUCUGGCGUAGGCUGGUGGCUACAGCUCUGAUUCGACUCCUAGCCUGGGAACCUCCAUAUGCCGUGGGAGCAGCCCAAGAAAUAGCAACAACAAUAACAAAAGACAAAAAAAAAAGAAUAGGGAUCUGAGAUUCUUUUUCCAAAACUGAAAUAUUAAAAUCAAGAAGUUCCUGGAGUUCCCAUCGUGGCGCAGUGGUUAACGAAUCCGACCAGGAACCAUGAGGUUUCGGGUUCGAUCCCUGGCCUUGCUCAGUCAGUUAAGGACCUGGCCUUACCAUGAGCUGUGGUGUAGGUUGCAGACGCGGCUCCGAUCCCGCGUUGCUGUGGCUGUGGUGUAGGCCGGCGGCUACAGCUCCGAUUGGACCCCUAGCCUGGGAACCUCCAUAUGCUGUGGGAGUGGCCCUAGAAAAGGCAAAAAGACACACACAAAAAAAUCUUAGCAGUUCCCUUGUGGCGCCCUGGAUUAAGGAUCCAGCAUGGCUUCGGCUGUGAUGCAGGCCACAGAUGUGACCUGGGUUCCAUCCCUGGCCCAGGAACUUCUGCAUGCCAAGGGCACAGCCAAAAAAAGAAAAAAUAUCAAGGCUUGACUGAGGUGAAAUGUCACCUUGCAGGACUGAAUCACUCCAAUCUAAUAUUUACUUUUCAUUCAUUCAUUCAUUCAUUCAUUCACAAAGUAAAUAUGAACAUCUGCUAUAGACAGGAACUGUGCUGGGUGUCUAGGAUAUCCCGGUAGGCAAAAGCAGAUGCUCGUGGAACUACUUUUGCAGAGUCCGAUAUCUAGCCCUGACGUUGAAUAUUUUUUCGUGGGCAUAUUGGUCACUUAUACAUGAUCAUGUCUUAUGAGAAGAUAAUUUUAGGAGUUCCUUUAGUAGCUCAGGGGUUAAUGACCUGACUAGGAUCCAUGAGGAUGUGGGUUUGAUCCCUGGUCUUGCUCAGUAGGUAAAGGACCCAGCAUUGCCAUGAGCUGUGGUGUAGGUCACAGAUGUGGCUCAGAUCCUGCGUGGCUGUGGCUGUGGCAGCUGUAGCUAUGAUUCAACUCCCAGCCUGGGAACCUCCAUAUGCCACAAGUGUGGCCCUAAAAAGCAAAAAAAAAAAAAAAAAAAAAAAA